This 77-nucleotide transfer RNA is filed under the name Deltaproteobacteria bacterium HGW-Deltaproteobacteria-14. Its description in RNAcentral is "tRNA-Met". It matches the Rfam family "tRNA". Rfam says of the family: Transfer RNA (tRNA) molecules are approximately 80 nucleotides in length. Lineage: Bacteria; Deltaproteobacteria. The record is from RNAcentral.
GGCUGUGUAGCUCAGCUGGUCAGAGCGAACGACUCAUAAUCGUUAGGUCGACAGUUCAAGUCUGUCCACAGCCACCA